This 282-nucleotide ribosomal RNA is filed under the name uncultured bacterium. RNAcentral describes it as "partial 16S ribosomal RNA". It matches the Rfam family "Bacterial small subunit ribosomal RNA", at positions 69 to 354 of the family's 1533-position model. The record is from RNAcentral.
CUUGCCUGCACCUGCCGGCGACCGGCGCACGGGUGAGUAACACGUAUGGAACCUGCCCGCCACAGGGGGAUAACCCGGGGAAACCCGGCCUAAUACCCCAUGCCGCCCGGACCGGGCAUCCGGACCGGGCGAAAGGAGGAAUCCGGUGGCGGCUGGGCAUGCGGCGCAUUAGCUUGACGGCGGGGUAACGGCCCACCGUGGCGACGAUGCGUAGGGGUUCUGAGAGGAAGGCCCCCCACACUGGAACUGAGACACGGCCCAGACUCCUACGGGAGGCAGCAG